UAGCUCCUUUUAGGGUCUCAUAAGUAUGGA
RNAcentral lists this non-coding RNA (30 nucleotides) under Rattus norvegicus (Norway rat). The record is from RNAcentral. Lineage: Eukaryota; Metazoa; Chordata; Mammalia; Rodentia; Muridae.